AUUGAACGCUGGCGGCAGGCCUAACACAUGCAAGUCGAACGGUAACAGGAAGCAGCUUGCUGCUUUGCUGACGAGUGGCGGACGGGUGAGUAAUGUCUGGGAAACUGCCCGAUGGAGGGGGAUAACUACUGGAAACGGUAGCUAAUACCGCAUAACGUCGCAAGACCAAAGAGGGGGACCUUAGGGCCUCUUGCCAUCGGAUGUGCCCAGAUGGGAUUAGCUAGUAGGUGGGGUAACGGCUCACCUAGGCGACGAUCCCUAGCUGGUCUGAGAGGAUGACCAGCCACACUGGAACUGAGACACGGUCCAGACUCCUACGGGAGGCAGCAGUGGGGAAUAUUGCACAAUGGGCGCAAGCCUGAUGCAGCCAUGCCGCGUGUAUGAAGAAGGCCUUCGGGUUGUAAAGUACUUUCAGCGGGGAGGAAGGGAGUAAAGUUAAUACCUUUGCUCAUUGACGUUACCCGCAGAAGAGGCACCGGCUAACUCCG
RNAcentral lists this ribosomal RNA (488 nucleotides) under uncultured bacterium. RNAcentral's name for it is "partial 16S ribosomal RNA". It matches the Rfam family "Bacterial small subunit ribosomal RNA", at positions 30 to 505 of the family's 1533-position model. The record is from RNAcentral.